RNAcentral lists this ribosomal RNA (253 nucleotides) under uncultured bacterium. RNAcentral's name for it is "partial 16S ribosomal RNA". It matches the Rfam family "Bacterial small subunit ribosomal RNA", at positions 526 to 779 of the family's 1533-position model. The record is from RNAcentral.
CAGAGGGUGCAAGCGUUAAUCGGAAUUACUGGGCGUAAAGCGCGCGUAGGCGGUUGUAUAAGUUGGAUGUGAAAUCCUCGGGCUUAACCUGGGCACUGCAUUCAAAACUGUACGGCUAGAGUGUAGGAGAGGAAGGUAGAAUUCCAGGUGUAGCGGUGAAAUGCGUAGAGAUCUGGAGGAAUACCGAUGGCGAAGGCAGCCUUCUGGCCUAACACUGACGCUGAGGUGCGAAAGCAUGGGAGCAAACAGGAUU